Musca domestica (house fly) is the source of this 509-nucleotide long non-coding RNA. RefSeq lists it as uncharacterized. The transcript has 2 exons. The record is from RefSeq and is a predicted model, not a curated record. NCBI's taxonomy places the organism in Eukaryota, Metazoa, Arthropoda, Insecta, Diptera, Muscidae.
UCUUAUAAUAUAAAUUGAAGUAUUAAAAAUCCAAUUAAAAAAUAAUAUUUUAUUACGAAAUCUGCUUGUUUAUUCGUACCAAUUGGAUACCAAUAUACCAAUAUAUAUUUUUCCGAAAUCCGGCGAUGAAAUUCAAGGUCGUUUGCAGUUGGUGUGGGACAACCCCAUGGAUCUUUUCUAUGGCAUAAACAAGAUCGUUUAAUUGGAAGGAGUGUCAGGAAGAUACAAAAGAACCAUCUCAACAGGAUUCGUCACAUCGCCUGCUCACUGCAGGCCAAACCGUCGAAGAUCCAUCUGUAAGAGUCUGUUUGCAUAUGGUGCAAUAUGCACUGCAGUUGGUUUCGUGGGGUGUGAAUAUUUUCUACCCUGCAAUAAAGUGUUUAGAUUAGUGAUCCUGCUGUUAGGCUGCAGGAACACCUUUUUCUCAUUUUAAGCAAUGGCCAGACACUGCCUUUAAUAAAAGAUCGCAGAACUGGAAUUUGGAAUUUUUAGUUCAAUAAUUGCAUGCA